RNAcentral lists this ribosomal RNA (468 nucleotides) under uncultured bacterium. Its description in RNAcentral is "partial 16S ribosomal RNA". It matches the Rfam family "Bacterial small subunit ribosomal RNA", at positions 28 to 507 of the family's 1533-position model. The record is from RNAcentral.
GACGAACGCUGGCGGCGUGCUUAACACAUGCAAGUCGAACGGAAAGGCCCUGCUUUUGUGGGGUGCUCGAGUGGCGAACGGGUGAGUAACACGUGAGUAACCUGCCCUUGACUUUGGGAUAACUUCAGGAAACUGGUGCUAAUACCGGAUAGGAGCUCCUGCUGCAUGGUGGGGGUUGGAAAGUUUCGGCGGUUGGGGAUGGACUGGCGGCUUAUCAGCUUGUUGGUGGGGUAGUGGCUUACCAAGGCUUUGACGGGUAGCCGGCCUGAGAGGGUGAACGGCCACAUUGGGACUGAGAUACGGCCCAGACUCCUACGGGAGGCAGCAGUGGGGAAUAUUGCACAAUGGGCGGAAGCCUGAUGCAGCAACGCCGCGUGCGGGAUGACGGCCUUCGGGUUGUAAACCGCUUUAGCCUGUGACGAAGCGUGAGUGACGGUAAUGGGUAAAGAAGCACCGGCUAACUACGUG